GCGCUGUGAUCUGAGUGCCCUGCGCCCUUCGGUGCCCUGUGCAGGCUGCCACUGGGCUGCCUCUGGGAGCCUGACUGGGUCCCUCCAGCCAAAGCUGCAGUGGGCCCAGGACAAGCUACGGGUCCAGGAACCUGCAGCAGCCUGACCCCAGAAGGAAGACCCUGUGGACUACCCACUGGUCCCCAAGAAAAACCCACAAGAUGGGAGUCUCUGGACUCCACUGCAGAGGUGGGCACCCUGCCUUGGAUUUGACCCUGUGAGUAGCUCUUACCGGCCUGAGGUCUGUGGUGCACUGGCCAGCCCUGGCCCUGGCCUCAUGUCCACACAGCAGGAGGGCGGUGGACAGGGCUCCAGGAAGGUAAAAACCCAUGAGCUGCACCAGCGCAAGUUCUACUCUCUGCCCUGGGGCAGUGACGGUGGCAAUGAAGUGGUGUGACUUGGGGCUGGCUGGGCAAGCUGAGGGAGCCAGCAGGCUGGCAAGGGCCUCUGAAGCACAUGCUUGGAGGGCACGCCUGAAGGCAACCUCUGGGGGGCCCAGGGAUGGGGCUGCAAUGAUGUGACCCCAGCCUGGCCCCCAGGGGCCACACCAAGUACCUGCAAUGCCAGAAGGACCAGCACCUUGACCUCUUGGCUCCCCCAAUCCUCAAUCCUCUCUGGAUGGCUGUGGGAAGCAGUGGGCGUCCUGGGCUCAGCCAGGGGGCUGGCAGACGGCUGCUCACGCCAGAGCUGCUCAGGCCGGUGGUGACCUUGGGCUGAGGUCGGCAACCCGUGGGGCCGGAUGGGUCUGUGCUGUACAGAAGGCGGAGAACGGGCUCAGGUCCAGACCACGGCCGUGAAGACCUGGGCUAAUGCCAGCCCUGACACAGGCGGUCAAGGUGGCCUCCCUGGUAAGGUGGACAGCAGCUGGGUCUGGUGGGUAGCCAGGUGGGUGGAGCGCAGGGGAGGGCCCUACAGGCACGGGGACAGCAGGGCAAAGGUCCCCGGGGGCAGGCACGGUCAGGAAGGCCCUUGGGCUGCAGGUGUGCGGUCAGGCCGAGUGGGGACUGUGGCCCGGGGUGGGCAGGACAGUGCCUCACCCCAGGCGGGGGUUUCGAGUCCGGGGGCGCUGCCUGCCCAGGGGGCACGAGCACAGCCCGGGGUACCGGAAGCUGAC
Molecule: long non-coding RNA, 1153 nt
Organism: Bos taurus (domestic cattle)
Lineage: Eukaryota; Metazoa; Chordata; Mammalia; Artiodactyla; Bovidae
Source: Ensembl